This 499-nucleotide long non-coding RNA is filed under the name Elaeis guineensis (African oil palm). RNAcentral's name for it is "long non-coding RNA (EGUI_LNC026358)". Lineage: Eukaryota; Viridiplantae; Streptophyta; Magnoliopsida; Arecales; Arecaceae. The record is from RNAcentral.
AUGUGUCAGUCAAACUCCAGCAGCCUCACCGCGAGUAGUAGUGUCAUCUCAGAUCAAAGGAUCAGUCAUACAACUACAGCAUCGAGAAAGUCACUAAUAAGUGAGCAGACAUCCAUGUAAUUUUUCGUGUUGGUCACGCUCAGUGCUAGUUGUUCUCUAACAACCACCUGCAUUCUCGCUCCAGUAUUUCUACACUACAGAUUCGAGAUCCAUCUGUCCGAAGGAAGCGAUCCGUGCACCAGUCUAUCCGAAUCAAUCAUCAUUCCUAUGAUGAUCCUAUGACUAGGAGCAAUUUAAGAAUCAACCAUCAAUGACAUAUGCCUCAAAUUCUCAACUCUUUGAGAAUAUAUGUCAUCAUUUUGUUAAUCUAUUGGAUGAUUCAUGGACACAUAGAUAUGAAUGGUAAUAUAAUUACCCAAUAAGUACAAAAUCAUAUCCUAGAGAUAUGAAAUGUGUCGUCAAGAUUGAUUUCUAGGACAUACAUCCAACAGGCCUCCGC